CUUUCCUCUUUCUCUCUCUGUCUUCCGCAAACUCUCUUCUCCAUCUUUUUCCCUCAAACCCUAAAAUUUCGCCGCCGACAACAACAACAAGCUUUCAUCAUUGUUUAGCCGUGAAACAACAACAAAAUUGACCUUCAUCUUCAAUCGCACACAACCAUUAAACCGAAAACCCCCUACAUUUAAACCGAAAACCCCUUACAUUGUUUCUUUCAGAACCGGAUAUGUACCAUAACGCACAAAAUGGGUCCAAAUCAAAAUGAAGAAGAUGCAUGGCUAUGAAAAAUUAGUGUGGAAGAAUUUGAUGGAAGAUAAGCCCACUCUAUAAAGAUAUGUUCGGUGGUGCGUAGAACGUGGAAGGCAUAUCAGUCUGACAAGAGAAGCUUGAUUUUGAAAUUGAUUGAUGCUUUGUGGAGACCUAUGGAACCAAUGGGAGGGAUGGAAUUAAUGAAGCACCUUCAGCAGAGGAUCUAACUCUAUUUUAUAGCAACAUCUCCCAUUGCACACAUCUCAAAGGUAAAAUCACCAACAAUUUUUCUAUUAGAUGCCCAAGAUCUCCGCGUCCCAAUAUCAACUAGACUGCAACUCAAAAGUGCAUAUGCCAUUGCAAAGUUAAGAAAAACAGGAUACUCAAAGAAUUAGUUCUACAAAGAGGCUAUCAGUAUGUAUAAGGAGGAAUCUCAGCUGAGACACAGGAAAUCAAUUUAGAAAUACUAAGACAUAAGGAAGUGAAUCAAAGAACCAAUGCUGUAAGAUUAACCAUACAUCCAAGAGCAGGAACUUCAUCUCUUCCAAAGCAAUUAUGGAAGUUGGUUAUUUUGUAUCAAACAUUAUUGAUUGCAUAUUUAGUUAGCAUCUCUGAAGUUUUCCUUUAAUGCUAUUUUUCCAUUUAGGUGAUUUCAGGCUGAGCUUGCUAGGGACAUGGGAUACACUGCUGCAAGAUUUGGGCAUGUUAUGUUCCCUGAAAAUGUUCAUGAGCCAGCCUUGAAUUGUGCUGAGCUUUUGCUUCAAGGCGUGGGGAAAAGUUAGUUUGAUAUUUUAUUACUUCAAUACUUGAACCAUUAAGUUUUUCAUCUAAUAGAAGUUUAUCACAUGGUUCCCAUUCUUAUUAGUUUUAAUGUUCGAUCUAAAUUCUGAUCUUAUGGUUGUUUGAUCUAUAAACGCUUUGGUUACAAAUUUGCCUUUCAGUUUAUUGCAGGGACAGCGAGGAGUUCUUUGCAGGGGCUGAGGCAGACUAUAUACCCUGCAGAGCCAACUUUUUUCCAUUUUUUAACCUUUCACCGCACAUAGCUUUUGGAAAAUUUGAACCACUGUAUUACUAAUUUACUACUCUAUUUUGAUAUGUUGAUUAGUAUAUUUUGAAUUAAUUGGACAGAGAAUCUAUGAAAAUCCAAUUGUGUGAUUAACAUGUUGAAAAUUCAAUUCAAUUCACUUACUGAGAUUAGUAUCUCUUGUAUUAAGCAGGGGUCAGUUUGCAUAGUUAAUGUAGUGAAAACGGCAUGAUUGUGUUUACACUUUGAAAAUUAUCAUACUUGGUAUUUUUAUUGAGGUGUUUUUCUGCCACUGUCAGGAAAGAGCAGCAGCAAUUGAAAAAGAAGCAGAGUGGCUUCUACAACAGCCGUCGAUGAAAAACCUCUUGGUAAAAUUGCAGAUGCGUUCAAAAAUGUGAUUGAGGCUGCUGCUUUUUCCGGGCCUUUGCUUUUGUGGCUCCUCUUUUUGUCAGCAUUGGCUCUCACUUCAACUUCAUUGAGAUGGAUUACCUCAACAAGGUUAAUGACAUAGCAGAGGCAUCAAAGUCUUUCAAGACAUUACUAUCUAUGGUUGAUCAUGAUGUACAAACUAAUUAUGUGAGAAUACAAGGAAGCCAUGAAUGAAAUCUUUUGAAAAUAAAACGUGGACUUGAAUUUCUCAAGGUGCUAUUUGAACAAGUUCUGCUCACAGAAAAGAGAUCCAAAGCACGUUACAGAUUAUCUUUGAACGUUAGAUUUGUUCAAUAUUUGGUGAGCUCCAAGACUCAUCUCAGAGGAAUAAAAAUAAAUAAAAGAGUGAAAGUGGAAAAUUGUAUGUCAGAAAAAGACCCCCACUUGCAAUUCCUGAAUGUUAGUGCAAAGUGUGGCUGGAUGGAGAAAGCUUAUGUGGACUAAUAGUGAUUUUAGAGUCAACAACCUCAACAAUGGGAAGUUCUAUGAGAGAUGCAGCUUCUUCUAAGGCUUAUACACAAAUAUUUAAUUCAUCUACAAGGGAGAAAGCGGUGUGUUUGUGUACAUCGGAGCAAUUGUGAUCAUUUGUUUGUUUUUAAUACAUGAGCCUAAUCUAUUUGUUUGUUAUUAAUACAUGAGCCUAAUCUAGGCAA
This is a long non-coding RNA of Vicia villosa (hairy vetch), 2350 nucleotides long. RefSeq lists it as uncharacterized. Lineage: Eukaryota; Viridiplantae; Streptophyta; Magnoliopsida; Fabales; Fabaceae. The record is from RefSeq and is a predicted model, not a curated record. The transcript is spliced from 9 exons.